Molecule: ribosomal RNA, 497 nt
Filed under: uncultured bacterium
Lineage: Bacteria
Description: partial 16S ribosomal RNA
Rfam family: Bacterial small subunit ribosomal RNA
Source: RNAcentral
GAUGAACGCUGGCGGCGUGCCUAAUACAUGCAAGUCGAGCGAACGGACGAGAAGCUUGCUUCUCUGAUGUUAGCGGCGGACGGGUGAGUAACACGUGGAUAACCUACCUAUAAGACUGGGAUAACUUCGGGAAACCGUAGCUAAUACCGGAUAAUAUUUUGAACCGCAUGGUUCAAAAGUGAAAGACGGUCUUGCUGUUACUUAUAGAUGGAUCCGCGCUGCAUUAGCUAGUUGGUAAGGUAACGGCUUACCAAGGCAACGAUGCAUAGCCGACCUGAGAGGGUGAUCGGCCACACUGGAACUGAGACACGGUCCAGACUCCUACGGGAGGCAGCAGUAGGGAAUCUUCCGCAAUGGGCGAAAGCCUGACGGAGCAACGCCGCGUGAGUGAUGAAGGUCUUCGGAUCGUAAAACUCUGUUAUUAGGGAAGAACAUAUGUGUAAGUAACUGUGCACAUCUUGACGGUACCUAAUCAGAAAGCCACGGCUAACUACGUG